Molecule: ribosomal RNA, 3231 nt
Filed under: Salmonella enterica subsp. enterica serovar Derby
Lineage: Bacteria; Pseudomonadati; Pseudomonadota; Gammaproteobacteria; Enterobacterales; Enterobacteriaceae
Description: bacterial LSU rRNA
Rfam family: Bacterial large subunit ribosomal RNA
Source: RNAcentral
ACUAAGCGUACACGGUGGAUGCCCUGGCAGUCAGAGGCGAUGAAGGGCGUGCUAAUCUGCGAUAAGCGCCGGUAAGGUGAUAUGAACCGUUAUAACCGGCGAUACCCGAAUGGGGAAACCCAGUGUGAUUCGUCACACUAUCAUUAACUGAAUCCAUAGGUUAAUGAGGCGAACCGGGGGAACUGAAACAUCUAAGUACCCCGAGGAAAAGAAAUCAACCGAGAUUCCCCCAGUAGCGGCGAGCGAACGGGGAGGAGCCCAGAGCCUGAAUCAGCAUGUGUGUUAGUGGAAGCGUCUGGAAAGGCGCGCGAUACAGGGUGACAGCCCCGUACACAAAAGCGCAUGUGCUGUGAGCUCGAUGAGUAGGGCGGGACACGUGGUAUCCUGUCUGAAUAUGGGGGGACCAUCCUCCAAGGCUAAAUACUCCUGACUGACCGAUAGUGAACCAGUACCGUGAGGGAAAGGCGAAAAGAACCCCGGCGAGGGGAGUGAAAAAGAACCUGAAACCGUGUACGUACAAGCAGUGGGAGCUGAGGGAAAGGCGAAAAGAACCCCGGCGAGGGGAGUGAAAAAGAACCUGAAACCGUGUACGUACAAGCAGUGGGAGCCCCACCACUAAGCCAGUGGUGAACUCCACAUACGCAUCCUUUGCUGAGGAUACGGUUAACGGAGCGCAAGCGACGUUCAACCGCAAAAGAAGCAGAGGGGGCUUAGUGGUGGGGUGACUGCGUACCUUUUGUAUAAUGGGUCAGCGACUUAUAUUCUGUAGCAAGGUUAACCGUAUAGGGGAGCCGGAGGGAAACCGAGUCUUAAUUGGGCGUUAAGUUGCAGGGUAUAGACCCGAAACCCGGUGAUCUAGCCAUGGGCAGGUUGAAGGUUGGGUAACACUAACUGGAGGACCGAACCGACUAAUGUUGAAAAAUUAGCGGAUGACCUGUGGCUGGGGGUGAAAGGCCAAUCAAACCGGGAGAUAGCUGGUUCUCCCCGAAAGCUAUUUAGGUAGCGCCUCGUGAAUUCAUCUCCGGGGGUAGAGCACUGUUUCGGCUAGGGGGCCAUCCCGGCUUACCAACCCGAUGCAAACUGCGAAUACCGGAGAAUGUUAUCACGGGAGACACACGGCGGGUGCUAACGUCCGUCGUGAAGAGGGAAACAACCCAGACCGCCAGCUAAGGUCCCAAAGUCAUGGUUAAGUGGGAAACGAUGUGGGAAGGCCCAGACAGCCAGGAUGUUGGCUUAGAAGCAGCCAUCAUUUAAAGAAAGCGUAAUAGCUCACUGGUCGAGUCGGCCUGCGCGGAAGAUGUAACGGGGCUAAACCAUGCACCGAAGCUGCGGCAGCGAACGUAUCACUUAAAGCGAUUCAGCGGGUUACGAUUGACGGAGCGAAGCGACGUCAAAGCGUAUACAAAGUCGAGUCGGUUUAAGGAUACGUUCGUUGGGUAGGGGAGCGUUCUGUAAGCCUGUGAAGGUGUGUCGUGAGGCAUGCUGGAGGUAUCAGAAGUGCGAAUGCUGUUGGGUAGGGGAGCGUUCUGUAAGCCUGUGAAGGUGGCCUGUGAGGGUUGCUGGAGGUAUCAGAAGUGCGAAUGCUGACAUAAGUAACGAUAAAGCGGGUGAAAAGCCCGCUCGCCGGAAGACCAAGGGUUCCUGUCCAACGUUAAUCGGGGCAGGGUGAGUCGACCCCUAAGGCGAGGCCGAAAGGCGUAGUCGAUGGGAAACGGGUUAAUAUUCCCGUACUUGGUGUUACUGCGAAGGGGGGACGGAGAAGGCUAUGUUGGCCGGGCGACGGUUGUCCCGGUUUAAGCGUGUAGGUGUGUGUUCCAGGUAAAUCCGGUUCACUUUAACACUGAGGCGUGAUGACGAGGCACUACGGUGCUGAAGCAACAAAUGCCCUGCUUCCAGGAAAAGCCUCUAAGCAUCAGGUAACAUCAAAUCGUACCCCAAACCGACACAGGUGGUCAGGUAGAGAAUACCAAGGCGCUUGAGAGAACUCGGGUGAAGGAACUAGGCAAAAUGGUGCCGUAACUUCGGGAGAAGGCACGCUGACAUGUAGGUGAAGUGAUUUACUCAUGGAGCUGAAGUCAGUCGAAGAUACCAGCUGGCUGCAACUGUUUAUUAAAAACACAGCACUGUGCAAACACGAAAGUGGACGUAUACGGUGUGACGCCUGCCCGGUGCCGGAAGGUUAAUUGAUGGGGUCAGCGCAAGCGAAGCUCCUGAUCGAAGCCCCGGUAAACGGCGGCCGUAACUAUAACGGUCCUAAGGUAGCGAAAUUCCUUGUCGGGUAAGUUCCGACCUGCACGAAUGGCGUAAUGAUGGCCAGGCUGUCUCCACCCGAGACUCAGUGAAAUUGAACUCGCUGUGAAGAUGCAGUGUACCCGCGGCAAGACGGAAAGACCCCGUGAACCUUUACUAUAGCUUGACACUGAACAUUGAGCCUUGAUGUGUAGGAUAGGUGGGAGGCUUUGAAGUGUGGACGCCAGUCUGCAUGGAGCCGACCUUGAAAUACCACCCUUUAAUGUUUGAUGUUCUAACGUGGACCCGUAAUCCGGGUUGCGGACAGUGUCUGGUGGGUAGUUUGACUGGGGCGGUCUCCUCCUAAAGAGUAACGGAGGAGCACGAAGGUUGGCUAAUCCUGGUCGGACAUCAGGAGGUUAGUGCAAUGGCAUAAGCCAGCUUGACUGCGAGCGUGACGGCGCGAGCAGGUGCGAAAGCAGGUCAUAGUGAUCCGGUGGUUCUGAAUGGAAGGGCCAUCGCUCAACGGAUAAAAGGUACUCCGGGGAUAACAGGCUGAUACCGCCCAAGAGUUCAUAUCGACGGCGGUGUUUGGCACCUCGAUGUCGGCUCAUCACAUCCUGGGGCUGAAGUAGGUCCCAAGGGUAUGGCUGUUCGCCAUUUAAAGUGGUACGCGAGCUGGGUUUAGAACGUCGUGAGACAGUUCGGUCCCUAUCUGCCGUGGGCGCUGGAGAACUGAGGGGGGCUGCUCCUAGUACGAGAGGACCGGAGUGGACGCAUCACUGGUGUUCGGGUUGUCAUGCCAAUGGCACUGCCCGGUAGCUAAAUGCGGAAGAGAUAAGUGCUGAAAGCAUCUAAGCACGAAACUUGCCCCGAGAUGAGUUCUCCCUGAGACUUAGAGUCUCCUGAAGGAACGUUGAAGACGACGACGUUGAUAGGCCGGGUGUGUAAGCGCAGCGAUGCGUUGAGCUAACCGGUACUAAUGAACCGUGAGGCUUAACC